RNAcentral lists this ribosomal RNA (1264 nucleotides) under Physomerus sp. RNAcentral describes it as "16S ribosomal RNA". The stretch from base 1020 to 1180 matches the Rfam family "Archaeal large subunit ribosomal RNA", at positions 2542 to 2701 of the family's 2987-position model. Lineage: Eukaryota; Metazoa; Arthropoda; Insecta; Hemiptera; Coreidae. The record is from RNAcentral.
UUUAAUUUUUUUAUCGUUAAUUUUAUUUAGUCUUUUUAUUUUAUUAGAAAUAACUUAUUUAUUAGUAAAUUUUAUUGAUAUUAUUAUUUUAACUAUAGUUUAUUUUGCUGUGAAGGUAUUAUUUAUUUUUUUAGAAAGCAUACUUUAUUUGUAGUACCUUUUGUAUCAGGGUUUAUUAAUUUUAGUUUAAUUAUUUUUGAUUUUCCCGAAAUUAAAAGAGUUACAUUAUAAUGUUAGUUUAUGUUUUAUAUUAAUUAAUAAUUUUAAUGUAGAGGUUAUAUGCUAUUCAAUUUUAAAUAUCUGGUUUUCUGAUAAUUUAAUUUAAUUAAGGCUAAUUAUUUUUGUUUUAUGAUUUUAUUUUAUACAAUUUUAUUAGCUAAUAUUGUGGGGGAUAAGCUCUAUAAUAUUAUUUAUAAUUUUUAUUUUUUGGGAGAUUUUUUAGGCUUGAUAACAGCCAUUAUUUAUUUCGUUUUAGUUAAUUCUCUUGUUUUAUUUAUUUAUUCUUUAUUUAAUUUUUUAUUGGAUAAUUUUAUUUAAUUUUGUUUUAUAAGUUAUAAUGAUAAAAUUAGUAGUUUUGAGUAUUUAAAUUUAGGAAUUCGGCAAAUUUAAUUUUCGCCUGUUUAACAAAAACAUGUCCUAUAGAUUAUUUAUUUUAGGUCUAAUCUGCCCAGUGAUUAUUUAAAUGGCUGCAGUAUUCUGACUGUGCAAAGGUAGCAUAAUCAUUUGUCUUUUAAUUGAAGGCUAGUAUGAAUGAUUGGACGAGAAAUUUUCUUUCUUAAUUUAAUUUUUAUGAAUUUGAUUUUUUGGUUAAAAAGCUUAAAUUUUUUUGCAAGACGAGAAGACCCUAUAAAAUUUUAUUUAUCUUUUUUAUUAAUUAUUUUGUUAAUUUUUUAUUAUUAUUUAUUAGGUAAAUUUUGUUGGGGCGAUAGUGAAAAUAUCUUAACUUUCAUUUUAUUUAUUUCAUAGAUUUAUGUAUUUUUGAUCUCUUUUUAAGGAUUAUUAGAUUAAAUUACUUUAGGGAUAACAGCGUAAUUUUCUUGGAGAGUUCUUAUUGAUAAGGGAGUUUGCGACCUCGAUGUUGGAUUAAAGUUAGGUUUGGGUGCAGCAGCCUAUAAAUUCUGAGUCUGUUCGACUUUUAAUUCUUUACAUGAUCUGAGUUCAGACCGGCGUGAGCCAGGUUGGUUUCUAUCUGCAAUAGUUAAUUUACAUUUUAGUACGAGAGGACCAAAUGUAUAUAAUAAUUAUUUAUUUAUUGAUUAUUAUU